CCUACGGGAGGCAGCAGUGGGGGAUAUUUGCACAAUGGGGGAAACCCUGAUGCAGCGACGCCGCGUGGAGGAAGAAGGUUUUCGGAUUGUAAACUCCUGUCGUUAGGGACGAUAAUGACGGUACCUAACAAGAAAGCACCGGCUAACUACGUGCCAGCAG
RNAcentral lists this ribosomal RNA (160 nucleotides) under uncultured bacterium. RNAcentral describes it as "partial 16S ribosomal RNA". It matches the Rfam family "Bacterial small subunit ribosomal RNA", at positions 338 to 514 of the family's 1533-position model. The record is from RNAcentral.